RNAcentral lists this ribosomal RNA (254 nucleotides) under uncultured bacterium. RNAcentral describes it as "partial 16S ribosomal RNA". It matches the Rfam family "Bacterial small subunit ribosomal RNA", at positions 524 to 776 of the family's 1533-position model. The record is from RNAcentral.
UACGAGGGGAGCAAGCGUUGUUCGGAUUUACUGGGCGUAAAGGGCGCGUAGGCGGCCAGCGCAAGUCAGUUGUGAAAUCUCCGGGCUUAACUCGGAAAGGUCAACUGAUACUGCGCGGCUAGAGUGCAGAAGGGGCAACUGGAAUUCUCGGUGUAGCGGUGAAAUGCGUAGAUAUCGAGAGGAACACCUGCGGCGAAGGCGAGGUGCUGGACCCUUUCUGACGCUGAGGCGCGAAAGCCAGGGGAGCAAACGGG